AAACUUGUGGAUUUUUGUCUCUAAGUUUACAGAAUUUGAUGCCAGAAAGUUGCACAAACUAUAUAAACAUGCAAUCAAAAAACGCCAAGAAUUUCAGCAACACAAUGACCAGAACAUUGCUGCUAAUGUGAACACACAAGUAAUUAGAAAUCCAAGUAAGAAAUCUUAAAGUAUAUUAUUGUGCUGUGUACCUUAAAUGAGGGAUGUAAAAUGAAAUAAGUUUUUAAAAUGUCUCCUAAAACUCCUGUACUGCUGGAUAUAAAUAGAGAUAGGAUGACUUGGCAUAACUUCACUAGUUUGCUGAUGAAAUUGAACUGAGCACAGAUUGAACCCAGUACUUACUGAUUUUAGUAUCAAGUUAUUUGACCACCUUAAAAAGUAAAAACUUCAAUAAUUGUAUCUACUUCUGAGCAGGGAGAAAGGCCUACUCAAAACUUGUAAACUUCUGGGAGGCUCUGUGCAUGUUUGUAGCAGUUGCAAUGUCACAAUAGCUUCAGGGAAUAUGAGAUGUCUUCUAUUGUUGACAAUAACAGUUUUUCUAUGGUCCCACACUUGUAAUACUUACUUUUAUAUCAUGUUAUCUAAAACCUUGAGUAUGUUAUCAUGAAUUUAAAAGGAGCAUUAUGUGUUUUAGGAAUUGUUGUGGUUUGACCCAGCAGGUGGCUCAGCAGCACAGUCACUUACUCUCCCCCUUCCCAGUGGGAUGGGAUAGGGGAGAGAAUUGG
Molecule: non-coding RNA, 725 nt
Organism: Meleagris gallopavo (turkey)
Lineage: Eukaryota; Metazoa; Chordata; Aves; Galliformes; Phasianidae
Source: RefSeq, a predicted model, not a curated record